GUGGGGAAUAUUGGACAAUGGGCGCAAGCCUGAUCCAGCCAUGCCGCGUGAGUGAUGAAGGCCCUAGGGUUGUAAAGCUCUUUCAGUGGGGACGAUAAUGACGGUACCCACAGAAGAAGCCCCGGCUAACUUCGUGCCAGCAGCCGCGGUAAUACGAAGGGGGCUAGCGUUGUUCGGAGUUACUGGGCGUAAAGCGCACGUAGGCGGAUCGUUAAGUCGAGGGUGAAAUCCUGGAGCUCAACUCCAGAACUGCCUGUAAUACUGCCAGUCUAGAGUCCAGAAGAGGUGAGUGGAACUCCUAGUGUAGAGGUGGAAUUCGUAGAUAUUAGGAAGAACACCAGUGGAGAAGGCGGCUCACUGGUCUGGUACUGACGCUGAGGUGCGAAAGCGUGGGGAGCAAACAGGAUUAGAAACCCCGGUAGUCC
This 425-nucleotide ribosomal RNA is filed under the name uncultured bacterium. RNAcentral describes it as "partial 16S ribosomal RNA". It matches the Rfam family "Bacterial small subunit ribosomal RNA", at positions 354 to 796 of the family's 1533-position model. The record is from RNAcentral.